CACCUUGACUAUGUGCACCUUUGUUGUUCCCUCGGCAGUUCGCUGCCGCCAGGNACCACCAAACCCCUUGCAUCAGCAUCAAACCUCUGAAAACAAAACCUAGUUAUUUACAACUUUCAACAAUGGAUCUCUUGGNUCUGGCAUCGAUGAAUAACGCAGCGAAAUGCGAUAAGUAGUGUGAAUUGCAGAAUUCAGUGAAUCGUCCAAUCUUUGAACGCGCAUUGCGCCCCUUGGUAUUCCAUGGGGCAUGCCUGUUCGAGCGUCAUUUACACCCUCAAGCUCCGCUUGGAGUUGGGCGUCUGUCCGCGCAGUUUGCGUGGACUCGCCCCAAAGGUAUUGGCAGCGGUCUUGCCAGCUUCUCGCGCAGCACAUUGCGCUUCUGGAGGCUCCGGCGGAUCGGCGUCCAUCAAGUCCACACCCACUGUUUGACCU
This 432-nucleotide ribosomal RNA is filed under the name Ascomycota sp. FL-2010b. RNAcentral describes it as "eukaryotic LSU rRNA". The stretch from base 112 to 265 matches the Rfam family "5.8S ribosomal RNA". The record is from RNAcentral. Lineage: Eukaryota; Fungi; Ascomycota.